RNAcentral lists this ribosomal RNA (498 nucleotides) under uncultured bacterium. RNAcentral's name for it is "partial 16S ribosomal RNA". It matches the Rfam family "Bacterial small subunit ribosomal RNA", at positions 29 to 523 of the family's 1533-position model. The record is from RNAcentral.
AUUGAACGCUGGCGGCAUGCCUUACACAUGCAAGUCGAACGGUAACGCGGGGCAACCUGGCGACGAGUGGCGAACGGGUGAGUAAAGCAUCGGAACGUGCCCAGUAGUGGGGGAUAGCCCGGCGACAGCCGGCUUAAUACCGCAUACGACCUAUGGGUGAAAGGGGGGGAUCGCAAGACCUCUCGCUAUUGGACCGGCCGAUGUCAGAUUAGGUAGUUGGUGGGGUAAAGGCCUACCAAGCCGACGAUCUGUAGCUGGUCUGAGAGGACGACCAGCCACACUGGGACUGAGACACGGCCCAGACUCCUACGGGAGGCAGCAGUGGGGAAUUUUGGACAAUGGGCGCAAGCCUGAUCCAGCCAUGCCGCGUGCGGGAAGAAGGCCUUCGGGUUGUAAACCGCUUUUGUCAGGGAAGAAAUCCUUUGGGUUAAUACCUCGGGGGGAUGACGGUACCUGAAGAAUAAGCACCGGCUAACUACGUGCCAGCCGCCGCCGUAA